AGAAGGUGGCAGGGGAAAUACCAUGAUUGCCACAGUGGUUUUCCCAGGGUGAGGCCUGUCCUUUGCACUCCAGCCAUGCUAUCCCCUGAAAGUUUUCCCAAAUACAGGAAACUCAAUUGCACAAUUUUAUGGCAAUUGGGGAUUGCUUUCUUGCUUUCCCCCU
RNAcentral lists this small nuclear RNA (163 nucleotides) under Crocodylus porosus (Australian saltwater crocodile). RNAcentral's name for it is "U1 spliceosomal RNA (ENSCPRG00005010273.1)". It matches the Rfam family "U1 spliceosomal RNA". Rfam says of the family: U1 is a small nuclear RNA (snRNA) component of the spliceosome (involved in pre-mRNA splicing). Its 5' end forms complementary base pairs with the 5' splice junction, thus defining the 5' donor site of an intron. Lineage: Eukaryota; Metazoa; Chordata; Crocodylia; Crocodylidae. The record is from RNAcentral.